AUUGAACGCUGGCGGCAUGCCUUACACAUGCAAGUCGAACGGCAGCACGGGAGCAAUCCUGGUGGCGAGUGGCGAACGGGUGAGUAAUACAUCGGAACGUGCCCAAUCGUGGGGGAUAACGCAGCGAAAGCUGUGCUAAUACCGCAUACGAUCUACGGAUGAAAGCAGGGGAUCGCAAGACCUUGCGCGAAUGGAGCGGCCGAUGGCAGAUUAGGUAGUUGGUGAGGUAAAGGCUCACCAAGCCGUCGAUCUGUAGCUGGUCUGAGAGGACGACCAGCCACACUGGGACUGAGACACGGCCCAGACUCCUACGGGAGGCAGCAGUGGGGAAUUUUGGACAAUGGGCGAAAGCCUGAUCCAGCCAUGCCGCGUGCAGGAUGAAGGCCUUCGGGUUGUAAACUGCUUUUGUACGGAACGAAACGGCCUUUUCUAAUAAAGAGGGCUAAUGACGGUACCGUAAGAAUAAGCACCGGCUAACUACGUGCCAGCAGCCGCGGUAAUACGUAGGGUGCAAGCGUUAAUCGGAAUUACUGGGCGUAAAGCGUGCGCAGGCGGUUAUGUAAGACAGUGUGAAAUCCCCGGGGCUCAACCUGGGCACUGCCUCUGUGA
This 609-nucleotide ribosomal RNA is filed under the name uncultured Comamonadaceae bacterium. Its description in RNAcentral is "bacterial SSU rRNA". It matches the Rfam family "Bacterial small subunit ribosomal RNA", at positions 28 to 632 of the family's 1533-position model. Lineage: Bacteria; Pseudomonadati; Pseudomonadota; Betaproteobacteria; Burkholderiales; Comamonadaceae. The record is from RNAcentral.